GACGAGGGAUCCUAGCGUUGUUCGGAAUCAUUGGGCGUAAAGCGGAUGUAGGUGGCUUUGUAAGUCAGGUGUGAAAGCCCAGAGCUCAACUCUGGAAGUGCAUUUGAUACUGCGAAGCUUGAGUGUGGAAGAGGUAAGUAGAAUACCUGGUGUAGUGGUGAAAUACGUAGAUAUCAGGUGGAAUACCGGAGGCGAAGGCGGCUUACUGGUCCAACACUGACACUGAGAUCCGAAAGCGUGGGGAUCAAACAGG
This 253-nucleotide ribosomal RNA is filed under the name uncultured bacterium. RNAcentral's name for it is "partial 16S ribosomal RNA". It matches the Rfam family "Bacterial small subunit ribosomal RNA", at positions 524 to 776 of the family's 1533-position model. The record is from RNAcentral. RNAcentral also lists the same sequence under 1 other name.